Long non-coding RNA from Salvia splendens (bonfire salvia), 1466 nucleotides. RefSeq lists it as uncharacterized. The record is from RefSeq and is a predicted model, not a curated record. Lineage: Eukaryota; Viridiplantae; Streptophyta; Magnoliopsida; Lamiales; Lamiaceae. The transcript is spliced from 2 exons.
CAUAUUUCUUUAAUUUUAUGUAAAGAGGCGCACUUUAUUUAAUUCAUUCCUCUAGCCCAAUCUGCCUCUCCUUUCUCUCUUAUCGGUAAGAAUGAAUUCUUAACUUCCCAAACUAAAUUCAUUUCUUUUUUUCAAAUCCCUAAUUCCAAGUGAGAACGGUGCCCCUCUUCUUCUCUUCUCCUCUCCGGCAAAAUCGCCGUCAACUGCCCAUCUCCACCGGUCAUCUCUGCCGACACUCUCACUGUGUCGGCUCCCUCUCUCUCCGUCGAGCUACCCGGAAGGCGCGACGCCAUUGUCCUUCUCUCUAUCUUCACUCGGCGGCGCCGGCACCAGCUGCCGCUGCCUCGCGCUACUGCUCCAGCAGCGCCGCUGCUCCUGUCGGCUCUCCGGAGCCCCGUCGUAACUCGACCCUCGCCGGACAUCCCCUUAUGCUAAGCUACGCCCUCUAUCCAGUUUGCUACUUAUCAUAAUUAUGUUCGAUGUUUGGGCAGUAGCUAUGUGAUGUUAUUACUUGGUGGUUCGGCUAGUUCACAGUGGUGCAUUAUUUGGUUUCGGUUCCAUUUGAAAGUUAUGGUAUUGAACUCUAAAAUUCAUGUGUUCUUGAUCAUCUACGGUUCUAAGUUUUCAAGCUAUAAGUGGGAUUUCUAACGUGAUGCAAAGGGUGGUGUUGUGGAGUUCACCUUAGCUUGGGUGAUACUUUGGGGCUGCUCUCUUGCUGCCACUGCUCCCCUCUCCACUUCUUGCUGACUUUCGAAACUUAGAGGGUGUUGGAGUGUGGUGGGAGAAGAAGGGUGAUGGUCCUUUAUAUAGCCACUAACCUUGGCUUCUUGUGGCAGCCCCUUGGGGUUCACACCUUCUAUUUUGAGCUAGAGCUUCUCCUUACUUUUGUGCUUACUCACAAGGCUCCUCAUGCCAAACUAGUGAAGAUUUUUGGGGAUGGUGCAUUUGGCUGAUACUACAUGUUGUUUGGUUCCUAAAGUGAGGAUAUGAAUCACCAUUUUGAGCCUACAAAGUAAUGGUUGUCACUUGGAGUUUUGUGGCUACUUCAAAAAUCGAGAAAGCUUGGGGAAGGAGAAUAGAAGAUUUGUGUUGUAGCUUUCUUGACCAAAAUCCUAAUUUAGCUACUAUCCAUGCCCUAGAUCUUUGGGGCAAUUAAAGUGGAAGUGUUCUAUUCCAUAAUUUAGCACUCAUGAUGUAAGCAAAAUAUGUAUAUGCAUAGUAGGCGUACCCUUCUAUGCAUUCCCAAGUGUAGACUAUUUGUGUCCAAAUGUUGACUAUGCUUUACUUGAGCUCUUAUAGAGUAGCUCUAUUUCGUAAUCUUGUAAAUGAGGACCCCACUUUUGUUUUCUUUACUCCUUUUAGCUCUGUAGUAAAAAUUCUUGUGUAAGGUAGACAUAUUUUCUCUACUUGUUCUAAGAUCCAUGUAUUCUUUUCCAUGAAAGGUAGUUUUCCUACAUUGUAAAGUA